GCAUUGAUGGUUCAGUGGUAGAAUUCUUGCUUUCAAUGCAGGAGACCCAGGCUCAAUUUCUGGCCAACCUA
This 71-nucleotide transfer RNA is filed under the name Loxodonta africana (African savanna elephant). It matches the Rfam family "tRNA". From Rfam's summary of the family: Transfer RNA (tRNA) molecules are approximately 80 nucleotides in length. Their secondary structure includes four short double-helical elements and three loops (D, anti-codon, and T loops). Lineage: Eukaryota; Metazoa; Chordata; Mammalia; Proboscidea; Elephantidae. The record is from Rfam by way of RNAcentral.